The sequence is a transfer RNA, 72 nucleotides long. It matches the Rfam family "tRNA". From Rfam's summary of the family: Transfer RNA (tRNA) molecules are approximately 80 nucleotides in length. Their secondary structure includes four short double-helical elements and three loops (D, anti-codon, and T loops). The record is from Rfam.
GUUCGUUUAGCUCAGUGGGAGAGCGUUCGCUUCACACGCGAAAGGUCGUGAGUUCGAAACUCACAACGAAUA